This 24-nucleotide non-coding RNA is filed under the name Arabidopsis thaliana (thale cress). The record is from RNAcentral. Lineage: Eukaryota; Viridiplantae; Streptophyta; Magnoliopsida; Brassicales; Brassicaceae.
AGGAAUCUACACAACGUCGUUUCA